AGAGUUUGAUCCUGGCUCAGGGUUAACGCUGGCGGUGCGCAUAACACAUGCAAGUCGAGCGAGGGCUUAUUUCUCGCAAGAGAGAUGAGUUCCUAGCGGCGAACGGGUGAGUAACACGUGGGCAACCUUUCCUAUCGCGGGGGAUAACACCGGGAAACCGAUGCUAAUACCGCAUGUCGUCACUGAUCGCAUGGUUGGUGAAGAAAGCAGCAAUGCACGAUGGGGUGGGCCCGCGGCCUAUCAGCUAGUCGGUGGGGUAACGGCCUACCGAGGCGAUGACGGGUAGCUGGUCUGAGAGGACGGCCAGCCACACGGGGACUGAGACACGGCCCCGACUCCUACGGGAGGCAGCAGUGAGGAAUCUUCCGCAAUGGGCGAAAGCCUGACGGAGCGACACCGCGUGUGGGAUGAAGUCUUUCGGGAUGUAAACCACUGUCGGAGGGGAAGACAAAAAAGACGGUACCCUCCAAGAAAGCCCCGGCUAACUACGUGCCAGCAGCCGCGGUAAUACGUAGGGGGCAAGCGUUAUCCAGAUUUACUGGGCGUAAAGCGCGUGUAGGCGGCUGGUUAGGCGUGAUGUGAAAUCUUCCGGCUCAACCGGAAAACUGCAUUGCGAACCGGCCUGGCUAGAGUGCAGGAGAGGGAAGCGGAAUUCCAGGUGUAGCGGUGAAAUGCGUAGAUAUCUGGAGGAACACCAGUGGCGAAGGCGGCUUCCUGGCCUGCAACUGACGCUGAGACGCGAAAGCGUGGGGAGCGAACCGGAUUAGAUACCCGGGUAGUCCACGCCCUAAACGUUGUGAACUAGGUGUUGGUCGGAUUGACCCGAUCAGUGCCGCAGCUAACGCAUUAAGUUCACCGCCUGGGGACUACGGCCGCAAGGUUAAAACUCAAAGGAAUAGGCGGGGGCCCGCACAAGCAGCGGAGCGUGUGGUUUAAUUCGAGGCAACGCGAAGAACCUUACCUGGGUUUGACAUGCACAGGAAACUUUGGUGAAAGCCAGAGCCUCCCGCAAGGGACUUGUGCACAGGUGGUGCAUGGCUGUCGUCAGCUCGU
RNAcentral lists this ribosomal RNA (1053 nucleotides) under Candidatus Dormiibacterota bacterium. Its description in RNAcentral is "bacterial SSU rRNA". It matches the Rfam family "Bacterial small subunit ribosomal RNA", at positions 8 to 1063 of the family's 1533-position model. The record is from RNAcentral. Lineage: Bacteria; Bacillati; Candidatus Dormiibacterota.